GUAUGUAUAUUCCCCAGACUCUAACCAUUCUAAUACAUUCAGAGAUUGUGAAAAACAUAGACCUUAAAACAUAACCCAAGGCAAAGCUGGAGCACAGCAAUCCUCAAAAAGGUCUACAAGUUGUGCACAGUUGGGAGAAAUAAAGAAAAAACAAGCGUGCACAUGCACUCAAGCCAGCAACAGCCUGCUUCAAUUUUAAUUCGAUAAUGAUCCUUCCGCAGGUUCACCUACGGAAA
This 236-nucleotide unclassified non-coding RNA is filed under the name uncultured fungus. RNAcentral's name for it is "sequence contains ITS1". Lineage: Eukaryota; Fungi. The record is from RNAcentral.